AGUGGCGGACGGGUGAGUAACGCGUGAGCAAUCUGCCCUAUACAGAGGAAUAGCCUCGGGAAACUGGGAUUAAAACCGCAUGAUGCUUUUGUAUCGCAUGAUAUAGAAGUCAAAUUGAUUAAGAGGUAUAGGAUGAGCUCGCGUCUGAUUAGCUAGUUGGUAGGGUAAAGGCCUACCAAGGCGACGAUCAGUAGCCGGCCUGAGAGGGUGAACGGCCACACUGGAACUGAGACACGGUCCAGACUCCUACGGGAGGCAGCAGUGGGGAAUAUUGCACAAUGGGCGAAAGCCUGAUGCAGCGACGCCGCGUGAGUGAAGAAGGUCUUCGGAUCGUAAAACUCUGUCCUUGGUGAAGAAAUAAAUGACGGUAGCCAAGGAGGAAGCCCCGGCUAACUACGUGCCAGCAGCCGCGGUAAUACGUAGGGGGCUAGCGUUGUCCGGAUUUACUGGGCGUAAAGGGUGAGUAGGCGGUUACAUAAGUCAGAUGUAAAAGGCUAAGGCUUAACCAUAGUAUGCAUUUGAAACUGUGUGACUUGAGUACAGGAGAGGUAAGUGGAAUUCCUAGUGUAGCGGUGAAAUGCGU
RNAcentral lists this ribosomal RNA (583 nucleotides) under uncultured Sedimentibacter sp. RNAcentral describes it as "bacterial SSU rRNA". It matches the Rfam family "Bacterial small subunit ribosomal RNA", at positions 94 to 691 of the family's 1533-position model. The record is from RNAcentral. Lineage: Bacteria; Bacillati; Bacillota; Tissierellia.